AUUAAGUUCUCCGCCUGGGAAGUACGGUCGCAAGACUAAAACUCAANGGAAUUGACGGNGGCCCGCACAAGCGGUGGAGCAUGUGGUUUAUUUCGACGCAACGCGCAGAACCUUACCUGGUCUUGACAUCUACGGAACCUUCGNGAAAGCGAGGGGUGNCUUUCGGGGAGCCGCAAGACAGGUGCUGCAUGGCUGUCGUCAGCUCGUNUUGUGAGAUGUUGGCUUAAGUCCCGUNACGAGCGCAAACCC
Molecule: ribosomal RNA, 249 nt
Filed under: eubacterial soil DNA clone S-12
Lineage: Bacteria
Description: partial 16S ribosomal RNA
Rfam family: Bacterial small subunit ribosomal RNA
Source: RNAcentral